AGAACGAACGCUGGCGGCAUGCCUAACACAUGCAAGUCGAACGCUCUUGGGACUUCGGUUCCAAGGGAGUGGCGCACGGGUGAGUAGCGCGUGGGAACCUGCCCUGUUGUGGGGGAUAACCGAGGGAAACUUCGGCUAAUACCGCAUAAGCCGGUUGUCUUGAAAGAGAUGGCCGGGAAAGAUUUAUCGCGACAGGAGGGGCCCGCGUCGGAUUAGGUAGUUGGUGGGGUAACGGCCUACCAAGCCUGUGAUCCGUAGCUGGUCUGAGAGGAUGAUCAGCCACACUGGGACUGAGACACGGCCCAGACUCCUACGGGAGGCAGCAGUGGGGAAUAUUGGACAAUGGGCGCAAGCCUGAUCCAGCAAUGCCGCGUGAGUGAUGAAGGCCUUCGGGUUGUAAAGCUCUUUCGCCCGCGACGAUGAUGACGGUAGCGGGAGAAGAGCCCGGCUAACUUCGUGCCAGCAGCCGC
This 470-nucleotide ribosomal RNA is filed under the name uncultured bacterium. Its description in RNAcentral is "SSU rRNA". It matches the Rfam family "Bacterial small subunit ribosomal RNA", at positions 26 to 518 of the family's 1533-position model. The record is from RNAcentral.